AAUAGAUACCCGGGUAGUCCACGCCGUAAACGAUGGAUACUAGCUGUUGGAGGUAUCGACCCCUUCAGUAGCGAAGCUAACGCGUUAAGUAUCCCGCCUGUGGAGUACGGUCGCAAGACUAAAACAUAAAGGAAUUGACGGGGACCCGCACAAGCGGUGGAUCGUGUUCUUUAAUUCGAUGCUAAACGAAGAACCUUACCAGGGCUUGACAUCCCUUGAAUUAAUCCGAAAGGAUUGAGUGCUUUAUUGAACAAGGUGACAGGUGUUGCAUGGCCGUCGUCAGCUCGUGUCGUGAGAUGUUUGGUUAAGUCCAUCAACGAGCGCAACCCUUGCAAGUAGUUGUAUUUUUCUACUUGGACUGCCCCGGCAACGGGGAGGAAGGAGGGGAUGAUGUCAGGUCAGUAUUACCCUUACGUCCUGGGCUAGAAACACGAUACAAUGGCAAGUACAAUGCGCAGCGAAGCCGCGAGGUGAAGCAAAUCGCAUCAAAGCUUGUCCCAGUUCGGAUUGGAGGCUGAAACUCGCCUCCAUGAAGUCGG
RNAcentral lists this ribosomal RNA (539 nucleotides) under uncultured bacterium. RNAcentral's name for it is "bacterial SSU rRNA". It matches the Rfam family "Bacterial small subunit ribosomal RNA", at positions 777 to 1329 of the family's 1533-position model. The record is from RNAcentral.